GACGAACGCUGGCGGCGUGCUUAACACAUGCAAGUCGAACGGAAAGGCUCCAGCUUGCUGGAGUACUCGAGUGGCGAACGGGUGAGUAACACGUGGGUGAUCUGCCCUGCACUUCGGGAUAAGCCUGGGAAACUGGGUCUAGUACCGGAUAGGACCGCACUUUGGUGUGUGUGGUGGAAAGGUUUUUCUGGUGUGGGAUGAGCUCGCGGCCUAUCAGUUUGUUGGUGGGGUAAUGGCCUACCAAGACGGCGACGGGUAGCCGGCCUGAGAGGGUGGACGGUCACAUUGGGACUGAGAUACGGCCCAGACUCCUACGGGAGGCAGCAGUGGGGAAUAUUGCACAAUGGGGGAAACCCUGAUGCAGCGACGCCGCGUGGGGGAUGAAGGCCUUCGGGUUGUAAACUCCUUUCGCUAGGGACGAAGCUUUUUGUGACGGUACCUGGAGAAGAAGCACCGGCUAACUACGUG
RNAcentral lists this ribosomal RNA (468 nucleotides) under uncultured bacterium. Its description in RNAcentral is "partial 16S ribosomal RNA". It matches the Rfam family "Bacterial small subunit ribosomal RNA", at positions 28 to 507 of the family's 1533-position model. The record is from RNAcentral.